GCAGUGCUGGUUCAGCGGUAGAAUUCUCACCUUCCAUGCGGGAGACCUGGGUUCAAUACCUGGCCGAUGCG
Molecule: transfer RNA, 71 nt
Filed under: Loxodonta africana (African savanna elephant)
Lineage: Eukaryota; Metazoa; Chordata; Mammalia; Proboscidea; Elephantidae
Rfam family: tRNA
About the family: Transfer RNA (tRNA) molecules are approximately 80 nucleotides in length.
Source: Rfam by way of RNAcentral